GCACAAGCGGUGGAGCAUGUGGUUAAUUCGAAGCAACGCGAAGAACCUUACCAGGUCUUGACAUCCCCUGACAACCCAAGAGAUUGGGCGUUCCCCUUCGGGGGACAGGGUGACAGGUGGUGCAUGGUUGUCGUCAGCUCGUGUCGUGAGAUGUUGGGUUAAGUCCCGCAACGAGCGCAACCCUCGCCUCUAGUUGCCAGCAUUCGGUUGGGCACUCUAGAGGGACUGCCGGCGACAAGUCGGAGGAAGGUGGGGAUGACGUCAAAUCAUCAUGCCCCUUAUGACCUGGGCUACACACGUGCUACAAUGGGCGGUACAAAGGGCUGCGAACCCGCGAGGGGGAGCGAAUCCCAAAAAGCCGCUCUCAGUUCGGAUUGCAGGCUGCAACUCGCCUGCAUGAAGCCGGAAUCGCUAGUAAUCGCGGAUCAGCAUGCCGCGGUCGAAUACGUUCCCGGGCCUU
RNAcentral lists this ribosomal RNA (460 nucleotides) under uncultured Geobacillus sp. RNAcentral describes it as "bacterial SSU rRNA". It matches the Rfam family "Bacterial small subunit ribosomal RNA", at positions 923 to 1382 of the family's 1533-position model. Lineage: Bacteria; Bacillati; Bacillota; Bacilli; Caryophanales; Anoxybacillaceae. The record is from RNAcentral.